This 253-nucleotide ribosomal RNA is filed under the name uncultured bacterium. RNAcentral's name for it is "partial 16S ribosomal RNA". It matches the Rfam family "Bacterial small subunit ribosomal RNA", at positions 524 to 776 of the family's 1533-position model. The record is from RNAcentral.
UACAGAGGGUGCGAGCGUUAAUCGGAGUUACUGGGCGUAAAGCGUGCGUAGACGGUUAUUUAAGUCGGAUGUGAAAGCCCCGGGCUCAACCUGGGAAUUGCAUUCGAGACUGAAUAGCUAGGGUGCGGUAGAGGGAAGCGGAAUUUCCGGUGUAGCGGUGAAAUGCGUAGAUAUCGGAAGGAACAUCAGUGGCGAAAGCGGCUUCCUGGACCAGCACCGACGUUCAGGCACGAAAGCGUGGGGAGCAAACAGG